This 284-nucleotide unclassified non-coding RNA is filed under the name Mucor circinelloides. RNAcentral's name for it is "partial internal transcribed spacer region". The stretch from base 1 to 46 matches the Rfam family "Eukaryotic small subunit ribosomal RNA", at positions 1786 to 1831 of the family's 1831-position model. The record is from RNAcentral. Lineage: Eukaryota; Fungi; Mucoromycota; Mucoromycetes; Mucorales; Mucoraceae.
AAGUCGUAACAAGGUUUCCGUAGGUGAACCUGCGGAAGGAUCAUUAAAUAAUCAAUAAUUUUGGCUCGUCGAUUAUUAUCUAUUUACUGUGAACUGUAUUAUUACUUGACGCUUGAGGGAUGCUCCACUGCUAUAAGGAUAGGCGGUAGAGAUGUUAACCGAGUCAUAGUCAAGCUUAGGCUUGGUAUCCUAUUAUUAUUUACCAAAAGAAUUCAGAAUUAAUAUUGUAACAUAGACCUAAAAAAUCUAUAAAACAACUUUUAACAACGGAUCUCUUGGUUCUC